CUUGCUAAGUUUGAUGGCGACCGGCGCACGGGUGAGUAACACGUAUCCAACCUGCCGAUAACUCGGGGAUAGCCUUUCGAAAGAAAGAUUAAUACCCGAUGGCAUAAUAGAACCGCAUGGUUUGAUUAUUAAAGAAUUUCGGUUAUCGAUGGGGAUGCGUUCCAUUAGGCAGUUGGUGGGGUAACGGCCCACCAAACCUUCGAUGGAUAGGGGUUCUGAGAGGAAGGUCCCCCACAUUGGAACUGAGACACAGUCCAAACUCCUACGGGAGGCAGCAUG
RNAcentral lists this ribosomal RNA (279 nucleotides) under uncultured bacterium. RNAcentral describes it as "partial 16S ribosomal RNA". It matches the Rfam family "Bacterial small subunit ribosomal RNA", at positions 76 to 353 of the family's 1533-position model. The record is from RNAcentral.